UUUCUUCUUCCUCUGCUUCAGAUAUUCCCAGAGACAUCAGAGCAGCUGCCUCAAAAUCCCGGGCAAGCCAUCUUUCAGUUUUGAAACUUCCUUCUGGAAACUUGGUUCAUGAACCGAGCAGGAAAAAUGGCUUCCAAACCAUAAAUUCUGGAGAAAUGAAGCCUCUUAUUAGGACUAAUAUGAGAAAUGAUGAAGCAAACUGUAACUCAAAGGUGGUUGAGGAGCUUUACGCUAUAAUGGAAGCUGUUGCGGACAGAUCAGAAAUGCACAAAAAUAUUGGCGUGCAGCGCGAUAAUUGGAACCGUCUUCUCCUCAACUCUGUAAAUGGGAUGACAGUCACAGCUGCAACAAUGGCUGGACUUGCAUUUCUGAGUGGUGGGGGUGCAACACUUUUGGCCUUGAAGCUCUCUUCCACCCUACUCUACACAGCGGCUACUGGAAUUUUGAUGGUGAUGAACAAUAUUCAGCCAUCUCAGCUUGCAGAAGAGCAAAGGAAUGCAGCUAGACUGUUUAAGAACCUUCACCAGCAAAUCAAGACUGUUGUUGCAGUUGGAAGCCCCAGUUUGAAUGAUGUGAACGCUGCAAUGGAGAAGGUGUUGGCGCUGGACAAGGCCUAUCCCCUUCCCUUGCUAGGGACGAUGCUCGAGAAGUUCCCAAAGACUGUGGAGCCUGCAGUGUGGUGGCCAAGAGAAGUGGGGUCUCAACAUGAGAAGGUGAGUGGGGGGGUGGAGAGAAAUGGGUGGAGUGAGAAGCUUGAGGAGGAGAUGAGGGAGGUUGUUGGGGUGCUGAAGAGGAAGGAUGCUGCAGAGUAUGUGAGGCUAAGCAAACUAGUAUUGAAAGUAAACAAAAUUCUAGCCAUAUGUGGCCCUCUUUUCACUGGCAUCGCCGCCAUGGGAUCGGCGAUGGUGGGAUCCUCACCUUGGAAUGGGUCGUGGGCUGUGGUGUUGGGUGUGGUGUUUGGAGCUCUGGCCACAGUGGUAAACACACUGGAGCAUGGUGGGCAGGUGGGUAUGGUGUUUGAGAUGUAUAGAAGCACUGCCGGGUACUUUCAACUCAUGGAAGAGACCAUAGAAUCAACUUUGAAGGAGAAAGAAGUAGGGGAAAGGGAAAAUGGAGAAUUAUUUGAAGUGAAAGUGGCUCUUCAGCUUGGAAGGAGCCUUCCUGGGCUUCAAAACCUAGCCACCACUCAUCCUCCUUCCCCUUCCAAUGAAUUUGCAAGCAAGCUCUUCUGAUUUUGAUUCUUCUGUACCUAGGUUAUAGUCUUAUUAAUUUUUGUAUACUGUCAGUAUAUUAAUUAACAAAAAAUACUGAUCAGAAUUCAUAAAUGGGUUCUCUGUAGAUCAGUUUGUAUCCAACUCAUAGCAAAGAAUUUUUUAACCAAAUAUUAUGUUUCAACAAAAACGUGAUAAUUAAUAUUGUUCCCUAUGAUUAGCGGAAGAGUAUCAGUUUCUGUGUAGAUGAUAUGCUUUCCCAGUCAAGCACGUGCCAUGAUCAUUAUACUAUACACAUAUUAUUGAAUUAGAAUCAUACUGUAGCUGAACUUAAUUUUGUACGGUGGGCAAGAUAAUGUAGGUCCACACGCUAGAGGAACAUUGAGAUGAUGUACGGUUGACUCUCUUUUCUUCUCCUUACUAAACAGUAUGAAAUUUACAAAAAGAAGAAUUACACAGCAUGGUCCUCAAAGUCCACUAAUACGCCAACAUAUUUGAGAAAUUGAUUUGUUACCAACCAUUUGGUGGGGAUAAAGGAGGAAACAUUAUAAGAUAAAGGGAAGCAUCCCAUUUGGUGGAAAUAAAGGAGGAAACAAUGUAACAUAAAUGAAAAGACCCUUCGUUUUCAAGAUUAAAAGGCCACUCAGGCUUUAAUAUUAAAAGGAUUAUUAAAAACUCAAAUUUUGAUAUUUAAUCCUUUAUCUUUUUUGGUUUCAUUUUGAUAAAAAUGCAUUCAAAAUAUUUUUUUUUUUUAAAAAAAAAAUCUAUAUGUAAAUAUUUGGAAUGAUAAAGUAUAUUUAUAUCCAAAAUAUGUUAUUUUUAAAGUAAAAACAUGAGAAAAAUUAGAUUCACAAAUUUGAAAAUUAUUUCAUCUAUUUUGAUCAAUUAUUUUUUUUUAAUAAUGCUUUUUAAAAAAUAAAAUUUGAUAAAAAUGUGUAUGAUAAAAUUUAGCUUUGCAAACUCAUCAACUAUGCUUCUUAAGAUUACAAUUGGUUGAAAGUACUUUUAAACACUAAAGAGCUCGAAAAAUGACUUAAAAUCAAUCACUACAAAAACUUAGGCUUUUAACCGUGAAUAAAAUUAUUGUUAAUAGUUUAAAAUUUGUCAAUAAAAGAUUUAGUGACGAUAUCUUGGUUGAUCGAUAAUAUUUAUUUAUUUAUUUUUCUCUCCUUAAGAGAGAAUUAUGUUUUACAAUGUGGAGGUAUGAAAGAUAUAAAACUUUAAAAAUCAAUGGAAAAAUUCAUAAUGAGUAAAAAAACAUAAAAAUACCAUUUUUUUUUUUAUAUUUUCCUUUAUUUUAUCAUAUUAUUAUUAUUAUUAUUUAUAAGUUUAUUAUUAUUAUUAUUAUCAUUGUUAUAGUUGAACAACAUUGAAUUUUAUAGACAAGAUAUGAAAAUCCCACUACAUAACAAAAACCAGCAAUUAUAUCAAACUAGAUAUAGCUAAUGGAGAGAACGGAGCCCAUACAAGAGAUUCACUCCACAUGGCUUAAAUUUUUUUUUUUUAAAAAAAAAAAAAGCAAGCCUUAGAAAAGCUUGCUACUAAAUAUAUAUAUAUAUAUAUAUAUAUAUAUAUAUAUAUAUAUAUAUCAAGAGCAACCUAGGAAUGAACCAUUUGAUUUUAGGUAAAAGGAGGAUAGUGUAAGGACUAUCAUUAUUGAUGCAAUUAGGUCUGGAGUGAAAUCUAACAUUUCUAAAGCAUUUGAUCAGGAUAAAUUAGACUUUAAUUAAGAAUAUAUUUGACAAUGUCUAUAUUCAAAAUGUUUUUAGUGAAAAUGUUUUUUUAAAAUAAAAAAAAAAGUGUUUUGAGAAGAAUCAUCUAUAUAAUGAUUUAAAAAAAAUUUAAAGUGUUUCUUAAAAUUUAUUAAAUACUUAAUUUUUUUUUUUCAAAAAUGCUUUUGAGAUUAAAAUUGAUUUCUAAAAUCAUUAGCAAAUGACAACAUUUAACUACUUUACCUUGGAUAGCAUAACUUGCAACACCAUAGGGCUAAGUAAAGUAGGAGAUUCCCUUCCAAAAGUAGCCACUUCAUGUGAGCUAGAGAAACAGUUAUCUCGUGUCCUCAAUUCACUAAAUAAAUUAAAACAUAAAACAUUAAAAGCAAGAGACCUUUGUAAUGAACUAAGAAAGCCUUUGUAGGCCAUUUGACACCUUUGAUGGGCGAACAAGAAUUAAUAAAAUAUUGCACAUCAAAAAGUGGGGGCAUCCCAAGUACACCGAACAUAUAUAAAGGAUAUCAAAAUAACAAAAGGAACUACCUCAAAUAUGCAUUAAAAAAAUCUCUUUUAUAAACUAAAACUCAACUAAUUAAUAAAAUCUAACAAGUAUAAAAAGCGAUCUUGAAUAUAUUGGCAAGUCCAUUAUAAUUACCAAAGAAUCCAAAACAAUCAAUCAAAGAGGGAUUGUCCUCCAAACUUUCUUUUUAUUUUUGCUCACCAAACUCCAUGAGAACCCUUUAACAAAUCCUUCAUAGAAAAAAUGGAGGAACUAAAAAAAAAACCAAAGAAGGAAAGAACAUAAUAUCAAAGACCCCUUGUCUUUCAACAAUGGAUUAGUAUGUGAUUGACUGAUUAUUCUGAACUCAUAUAUAAGCAAGAAUGAUUAGCCACUAACCAUCAUCUUCUCUUAAGUUGAUCUAGGGUCAAAAACCUUUUUCAUAUCCCAAUCAAUACCCACUUUUAAAGUCAUGAGAGAACCCUAUAGUACAUUCAAGAUAAAAAAAUGCUCUUUCAUAUAACACUAUUUUCACUCUUUCUAGUAUUUCAAAUCAGCUUAUCUUCAUUCUUAUUGCACUUUCUAAGCAUUUGAAGCCUCCUAAGUAACUCCUCAAUGCUAUAUAACUCUCAAUCUUAGAACUAUCUUGUGAAACCCAACUUCCAAACAGCAUGUUUGCUUAUGACCUCAUAAGUAUUCCCCACGUAAGACUCUUUAUUAGAUGUAGGAAAGAAAAAGGAAAAAAAAAAAAGGAAAAGAAUCCUUUAAAUGAGUACCCUCACACCAAACAUCGUGCCAAUUUUCUCCAUUGCUAACAAAAAGUCUUUGCUCUAGCCUUAAAGACUUCCCAACAUCUUCUUACUGCCUUCUCAAGUCAACAUUAUACCCCUUUCUCUUAGCAAGAGAGCACCAUUUUCCAAGUUCUUCCUUGAACUUUCCCACUGUAACUCAUCUAGUCCAAAGAACUCUUUCUUCAAAGCAAAUCUCCAACACCAUUUUCCAAGCAACACUUAGGACAAAACCCUAAUGCUUGACCCUCUCAACUUUUUAUCUUUACAAAGAGAAGACCAAUUGAGUAGGUGAGGUUAUUCUUUAGAGUUCCUCCCCUCCUCCCCCACAAGAAGUUCCAUUGAAUUUUUUACAAUCUUAAAGCUAACACUUUAUAAAUGUCAAGAAGAGAUACAAAAUAAAUAGGACAACUGUAUAAAGUACUUUGAAACAAAGUAAAUCUGGUUUUCAUCCUUUGAAAGAUAUUGUAUUUUCCAAAAAGCUACAUUUUUAUGAAAACUCUCCUCAGCCACAUCACAUAUAAAUGAGGCUUGAAUUGGCCACCCAAAGACAAGCCUAAAUAAGUACUUGGAAGCUUCCCCAUUUUACAACCUAACAAAGAGGCAAGUUCCUCGACAUGAGGGACCUCCCCACAUGAAUCAAUUCAUUUUUAUCCAAAUUAACUUUCAAUCUUGAAGAAGCUUCACACCAAAAUUGUAUCCUAGAUCCUAUAUGAGCUUUAAGGAACCCAAUUCCUAACAAAGAGGAUUUUUUUUUUCUUAAAAAAAAAAAAAAAAAAGGAUUAGUUGGAAAUAAGAUGAAACAAGUAGGCAUUAUGACAUGGUUUCCCAAAGAGGCUGAGUCCAUAUUAACAACAUGAUAACCAUAAAGAAAAACAAUUGGAAAUAAAUAGUCUUGCCUCCACUCUUCUUGGGAUGACGUUAAAACUGGGUUAGGUUGAUUUGAACCCACUCAAAUUACACCCCUGUUCAUGCAUACAAAAAAACACAAUAGAAAAAGACUUUUGAAUAUUGCAUAUAUAUGGUGUUUACAUUUAACAAGAAGUCCUUAUUUUCUUUGGUCAUCAAGUGUUGUUGUGUUAACGGAAACAUUAAUGCAAACAUAUUAAAUGAAGAAUAUAGAAAUCAAGUAAAUCACACAAAAGGUACACGAGGUUUUAACGUGAUUCGACUAAUUAUGCUUACCUUCACAAAUAAGAGAGAAUAUUCCAUCAUAUGAUAAAGAAUAUUAUAAAAGAUAAAAAUUAUAUACAACUACUAGAUCCCUUUGUAUCUUCAUUCUGAACCAUGAGCCUUUUUAUUCCACCAGGUGUUUUUCGCUCUUCCUCACAUCUCUAUCUUAUCUCUCUUUCAUCACUUUUUUCCCUCAUGAUCUAAAAUAUUUAUAAAAAUAUUCUCAUUAGCUUUCCUUAUUCUAUAAGAAGUCUAAUUACAAUAACAUAUAAAAAAAGUAUACUCUAAAUGGGAAUUUGAGACACUUUCCCAACAAUCUCCACCCUGAAUUAAAUUUCAUUAAGGCAAUCUUCCAUCUCUCCAUGAUCUACCAUUUCCUUGCGCACAUCGCUCUCCUCAUGUGUCAUUGUUCCCUUUAUGCGCCACAUUCUUAUUACAUGACACAAUCUUCUUGUUUCUUGUAUUAUUGGUGAUAAAAAAUUGACUUCACAUUCAACUAAAUUUCUUUUUGUAAUUUUCUUUUAUGCUCUAACAUCUUUAUUCUUCGUGAAAUUUUCAAAUAAGAUUAUUCGAAACAUCUUCAACCAAGGUUCUUUUAGGCAUCUUCACUUAAGGCUUUCCCAGACAUCUUCAACUAAAGCUCUAACACCACUUGUUGUGUUAGCAAAAUCAUUUUAAAGAAGAACACGAAAAUAAAGCAAAUCACACAAAAGACACAAAGUUUUAAUGUGGUUCAGCUAAUCAUGCUUACUUUCAUGGAUGAGAGAAGACAUUCCAUUAUAGGAUAGAAAAUAUCAUAGAGGACGAAAAAUAAAUACAACUAUUGAGUCCCUUUAUAUCUCCAUCGUGAACAAUGAGCUUAUUUGCUUCACUAGUUAUCUUUCACUAUUCUUCAUCAUAUCUACACCCUAAUGAUCAGUUUUUUUGCUCUAUCAGUGUCUCUAUCUCAGAUAUCUUUUGCAUAACUUAGUCCUCUUAUAACUUAAAAUAUUUAUAGAGAUAUACCCAUCAACUUUCCUUAUUGUAUAAGGAGUGUAAUUACAAUAAAAUAUAAAAUUAGAAAAUAUUUUAUAUAAUAUUUUAAAUAUAUAUAUAUUCUAAAUGCGAAUUUGAGAGAUCCUCCCAAUAGGUGUGUCAUUCAUUACGUACUCCUUAGUCUUUGGGAAAAUUCUAGGGUACCUCUUCGAUACCUACCGAAAAAGUUUUCCAAGCCAUUGGAUGUCCAAGAUUACAUCUUGGCCAUCCAUUUUAAAUUUGAAAUAAAAAUUCCACUGAAUCGGUUAAGGGAAGAACCGGUUGUGGCCUUCUUUCUUCCUCCAUUCUCAACAAUUUUGGGUUUAAAUAAAAUAAAUAUUAGAUAAAAGUAGAAUUGGAAAAAAAAUAAAAAUAAAAAUAAUAUAAAAUUUGAAAACAUAUUCAUUAAAAAAAAAUCAUCAUAUAUCAUAAUUAUAUUAUUUUAUUUUUAACAAAUUAUUAAACAUUUAAAUUCAACAUAAAAAUGAAUAUGAUAAUAUUUUAAUAUGAAAUGAGUAUUUUCAUUAAAAUUCAACAUUUUGAUAAUCAUAUGUAAAACUUAGGUAAUUAGACCAUCCUAAUUGUUUUCCGUACUUUCCAAAUUUUACAUUUUUUGAAUUUAAGGUUUUUAAAGUUACAUUACAAUAAAAUAAAUUACUAAUACUCUUUUAAGUUACUAAUGAUAAUAUUUUCGAAAAUAAAUUUGUAAUUUAAAAAAUUUUUAAACUAAAAAUCAAUAUGAAAAAUGUGAUGAAAGUACCAAACAUGUAUUUAUCACAUUUUUCGCACCGUUCUCAUAUUUUUUGUACCCUAAAUUAUUUAUAUUUUUAAAAUUUCAGAUUUACUUUUUAACUUGAAAUAACAAUAACAUGGUUUAAUAAUAUUAUUUUGAGUUAUUAUUAAUAGAAUUGUUAAAAAAAAAAAAAAAGAAUUAAAAAAAAUAAAAUAGGAAAUAAUGUAAAUUAUCCUAAAAAAAUUAGAAAAUUAAAACACUAAAAAAUUAGAGAGAAUAUGAAAAAUGUGAGAAAAGGUAUGAAGAUUAUGAGAAAUCCUCACAUUUUUCAUACCUUACAUCACAUUCUCCGUACCCUGAAAUUUAACAAAUUUUCAAAUUUUUCAAUUUUUUUCCACUUAAAAAUACAAAUAAUAUUGUUUAUUGAUACUAAUCAAGCUUAGAAAUGGUGAAAAUUAUUUUUAAGAAAAUUUAAAAAUUAAAACACUAAGUAAUUGUAAAAGGUACGAAUAAUGUGAUGAAUGGUACAAAAAAUGUGAGGAAUCCUCACAUUCUUAGCACCCUUCGUCACAUUCUUUUUACUUUAAAAUUUUUUACAAAUUUUCAAACUUUUCAAUUUUUUUUCCACAUGGAAAUACAAUAAUAUUAUUUAUUGAUACUAAUUAAGCUUAGAAAUGUCUUACAAAGUUCGUACCCUCUCUUAGAAAGUUUUUACACUCUCUUAGAAAGUUCGAACACUCUCUUAGAAAGGUCGUACCAUCUCUUAGAAAGUUCGUACAAUCUCUUAAAAAGUUCGUACACUCUCUUAAAAAGUUCGUACAAUCUCUUAGAAAGUUCGUACUCUCUCUUAAAAAGUUCGUACACUCUCUUAGAAAGUUCGUACACUCUCUUAAAAAUUUCGUACCAUCUCUUAGAAAGUUUGUACCCUCUCUUAGAAAGUUCGUACCCUCUCUUAGAAAGUUCGUACACUCUCUUAGAAAGUUCGUACACUGUCUUAGAAAGUUAGUACUCUCUUUUAGAAAGUUUGUACCAUCUCUUUCGUACCAUCUCUUAGAAAGUUCGUACCCUCUCUUAGAAAGUUCGUACCUCGUCUUAGAAAGUUCGUACCAUCUCUUAGAAAGUUCGUACAAUCUCUUAGAAAGUUUAUACCAUCUCUUAGAAAGUUCGUACCAUCUCUUAUAAAGUUCGUACCAUCUCUUAGAAAAUUUGUACCCACUUUUAGAAAGUUCGUACUAUCUCUUACAAAGUUCGUACUAUCUCUUAGAAAGUUCAUACCCUUUCUUAGAAAGUUCGUACCCUCUCUUAGAAAGUUCGUACCAUCUCUUAGAAAGUUCGUACCCUCUCUUAGAAAGUUCGUACAUCAUCUUAGAAAGUUCAUACCAUAUCUUAGAAAGUUCGUACCCUCUCUUAGAAAGUUCGUACUCUUUCUUAGAAAGUUCGUACCAUCUCUUAGAAAGUUCGUACACUCUCUUAGAAAGUUCGUGCUCACUCUUAGAAAGUCAGUACUAUCUCUUACAAAGUUCGUACUAUGUCUUACAAAGUUCGUACCCUCUCUUAGAAAGUUCGUACUAUCUCUUAGAAAGUUCAUACUUUUUCUUAGAAAGUUUGUACCCUCUCUUAGAAAGUUCGUGCUCACUCUUAGAAAGUCAAUACUAUCUCUUACAAAGUUCGUACUAUGUCUUACAAAGUUCGUACCCUCUCUUAGAAAGUUCGUACUAUCUCUUAGAAAGUUCAUACUUUUUCUUAGAAAGUUCGUACCCUCUCUUAGAAAGUUCGUACCAUAUUUUAGAAAAUUCAUACCCCGUCUUAGAAAAUUCGUACCCCGUCUUAGAAAGUUCGUACCCCGUCUUAAAAAGUUCGUACCAUCUUUUAGAAAGUUCGUACCAUCUCUUAGAAAGUUCGUACCAUCUCUUAGAAAGUUCGUACCAUUUCUUACAAAAUAUUGAUGACAAUUUCAUAACAAAUGACUAAAUGCUCUCAAUUUGAUUAAUAAUAACUCAGAAAAAAAUUAAAAAAUCUAGAUGUUAUAAAUCAUUACAUAUUUAAAUGUCAUUUAACAUGACAUUUCUACCUACAAAAGUUAUAUGUAAAUGGAAAAAAAAAAAAUCAAAUAUUACCUUUUAACACUUGUAAUCACUUGACAUCCUUCAAGACAUAUAAAGUUUCAUCUUCAAAUUUAAUCUAUGAACAAAAAAAGAAAAAUUAUAUAAAAAUAUUAAUAACAAUUUGAUAACAAAAUUUUAUAAUAAACUCAUAAAAAAUUCUAAAAUCGUUAUUUAACAUCACAUUUCUUCCUACAACAAUUAUAUUUGGAUAAAAAAAUAUCAAAUAUUACCUUUGACACUUCUAAUCACUUGAAAUCCUUUAUCUUCUUCAUAUAAUACAAAUUUUAAAUUUUCUCUCUCAAAAAGUUUUAAACUUGAUCUUGAAAUUUGAUUCAUCAAAAUACAUCUUACAUAUUUUGUAAUUUGGUAGUUGAAAUUAUUUAAUUUUCAUAUUAAAUUACUGUCCUUUUAUAUAUAUAUAUAUAUAUAUAUAUAUAUAUAUAUAUAUAUAUAUAUGAAUAAUGAGAGUAUAAGAGUAAUUGGUAGGAUUUUCUUUUUUUAGAUAGAGUUAGGCAAUGCAUUAAAUAACAAAUUAUAUUUGUUAUUUAAUAAUAAAUUAUAAAAAAGUUGUAAUAUUUAGAUAUAUAUGAAAUGCAUGCGAUUAUUUCUCACCAACAAAUCAUUUUUACCUGUUUGAUAAGUUUUUAUAAAUUUUUUAAUGAUAUAUACUUUACACAUGUCAUUUUUUUAUUAUGGUCAAAUGUGAUAGGUAUCCCAAAAUAAAGAGUGGGUACCAAAGACUUUGAGGUAACCAUUUCUAUGAGAAAACCCUCAUCUCUCGUGAAGGAUGUGUCCCCAUAUACUAAUCCCAUUUAUAAGUCAUUUAGUUUCCUUAUUGGUGGUUUACUGAUUCCAAGUAAAAUUCAUGACAUCUAAGCAGAAAGAAUAUUAUGUAAAGGGCAAAAUUCAGUCAAAGCCAUGGAACUUCAUUCAAAGCGUAGGAAAAUGGUUACACGCUCUUCAUUUCGUACUUUCCUCUUCUUUAGAUAUAUAUAUAUAAAGAAAUAUAUAUAUAUAUAUAUAUAUAUAUAUAUAUAUAUAUCCAUCACAUGUCUCCCUACUCUUCAACCCAUAAUCAGUCCUUCAAAGCCUCGAGAUCCGAUACUCACAGCAGCAGAACCUGUACCACUGAGGCUAGAUCGCAUAGCCAGUGAGCAUGACAACCAUUCAAUCAUCAUCUCUUCUUUUUUCUUCUUUUUCUUCUUCUUCUGCUUCAGAUAUUCCCAGAGACAUCAGAGCAGCUGCCUCAAAAUCCCGGGCAAGCCAUCUUUCAGUUUUGAAACUUCCUUCUGGAAACUUGGUUCAUGAACCGAGCAGGAAAAAUGGCUUCCAAACCAUAAAUUCUGGAGAAAUGAAGCCUCUUAUUAGGACUAAUAUGAGAAAUGAUGAAGCAAACUGUAAUUCAAAGGUGGUUGAGGAGCUUUAUGCCAUAAUGGAAGCUGUUGCGGACAGAUCAGAAAUGCACAAAAAUAUUGGUGUGCAGCGCGAUAAUUGGAACCGUCUUCUCCUCAACUCUGUAAAUGGAAUGACAUUCACAGCUGCGACAAUGGCUGGACUUGCAUCUCUGAGUGGUGGGGGUGCAACACUUUUGGCCUUGAAGCUCUCUUCCACCCUACUCUACACAGCAGCUACUGGGAUUUUGAUGGUGAUGAACAAGAUUCAGCCAUCUCAGCUUGCAGAAGAGCAAAGGAAUGCAGCUAGACUGUUUAAGAACCUUCACCAGCAAAUCAAGACUGUUGUUGCAGUUGGAAGCCCCAGUUUGAAUGAUGUGAACGCUGCAAUGGACAAGGUGUUGGCGCUGGACAAGGCCUAUCCCCUUCCCUUGCUAGGGACGAUGCUCGAGAAGUUCCCAAAAACUGUGGAGC
RNAcentral lists this long non-coding RNA (11100 nucleotides) under Vitis vinifera (wine grape). Its description in RNAcentral is "long non-coding RNA (VVIN_LNC006488)". Lineage: Eukaryota; Viridiplantae; Streptophyta; Magnoliopsida; Vitales; Vitaceae. The record is from RNAcentral.